GACUUCCCCGCUGUCUCCAGCAUAGACUCAGUGAAAUUGAAUUCCCCGUGAAGAUGCGGGGUUCCUGCGGUUAGACGGAAAGACCCCGUGCACCUUUACUAUAGCUUUACAUUGGCAUUCGUAGCGGCAUGUGUAGGAUAGGUGGUAGGCUUUGAAGCCGGGGCGCCAGCCUUGGUGGAGCCACCCUUGAAAUACCACCCUUAUCUCUAUGGAUGUCUAACCGCGGCCCGUUAUCCGGGUCCGGGACAAUGU
RNAcentral lists this ribosomal RNA (252 nucleotides) under Salmonella enterica subsp. enterica serovar Senftenberg. RNAcentral describes it as "partial 23S ribosomal RNA". It matches the Rfam family "Bacterial large subunit ribosomal RNA", at positions 2006 to 2257 of the family's 2925-position model. The record is from RNAcentral. Lineage: Bacteria; Pseudomonadati; Pseudomonadota; Gammaproteobacteria; Enterobacterales; Enterobacteriaceae.